CUGGAUGAUAACAGUUACAGGCAUGGUUCCUCACCAGAUGAUGGCUCUCACCGCGGUGGGUUAUCUGGUUACGCUGCUGGUUUUGGUGCAUGUACCACUAGUCGAAGGUAGUGGCAGCAUCUUCG
Molecule: long non-coding RNA, 125 nt
Organism: Haliotis rubra (blacklip abalone)
Lineage: Eukaryota; Metazoa; Mollusca; Gastropoda; Lepetellida; Haliotidae
Exons: 3
Source: RefSeq, a predicted model, not a curated record